AGAAUCAACGCUGGCGGCGUGCCUAACACAUGCAAGUCGAACGAGAAAGUGGGAGCAAUCCCACGAGUAAAGUGGCGCACGGGUGAGUAACACGUGACUAACCUACCCUUGAGUGGGGGAUAGCCUAGGGAAACCUGGGCUAAUACCGCAUAAUACCUACGGGUCAAAGGAGCAAUUCGCUUAAGGAGGGGGUCGCGGCAGAUUAGUUAGUUGGCGGGGUAAUGGCCCACCAAGACAGUGAUCUGUA
This 247-nucleotide ribosomal RNA is filed under the name uncultured bacterium. RNAcentral's name for it is "partial small subunit ribosomal RNA". It matches the Rfam family "Bacterial small subunit ribosomal RNA", at positions 26 to 285 of the family's 1533-position model. The record is from RNAcentral.